Pseudophryne corroboree (corroboree frog) is the source of this 629-nucleotide long non-coding RNA. RefSeq lists it as uncharacterized. The record is from RefSeq and is a predicted model, not a curated record. The transcript is spliced from 4 exons. Lineage: Eukaryota; Metazoa; Chordata; Amphibia; Anura; Myobatrachidae.
CAUACAUUAAGAGGGAAGUCCAGAAGCAGGGCAUUCUGUCCCUCCUGGAGAGGGUCAUGUUGGGAGUGUCGUAACUGCACCAGAUCGGUGUAAGCUAACUUAUGAUUGGAUGCUAUAGACUAUGCUGCACACGUGCACUUUCAGGUAAAUUAGCCAAUACUCCCUUUCCUCCAACAAUGGUGUUGUGAGCUUGUAGAGGGAAGCAGACUAAUAUUAUCUUUAUUGUGAGGAACAGUGGGCAAGCUGUUGGAGGUGAUUCCCAAAUGGACCCCAUGGCACUUGAAUAAUAGAGAAACAAGCCAUUAACAACUACCAGCAAUUAAAGAGAGACCACAGAAGUUUCCACAGGGAUUGAUAAAUACUGUUACUCUCAGGAGGCUGUCUGAUAACAGCAGCUUUUUAUGGAAAAAUAGCGAAUACUACAUUGAACUUGGAAGGUGCCCUUAUCUGGAGUUCUCUGCUACUUCUAGACUAAGAAAUUGGUGGUAGUAUACCUAAUAUACUAUUCCUCAUUUUGAUACCAUGUACCCUAUUUAUUUGAGACUGUUGCAGCAAUUAUUUGUUACUAAGUAGCAUUCUAUAUUCUCAUAUUUAUUAUAUCUAUUUUUUGUGUUUGUAUAGUUGUGUAA